UCAAACUCUACUGCCUCAAGUUUCUCCGGUUCAACAAGUCUUUCACAUCUUUAUUUUUCAUCCUCAUUAUACCUUUCAGAAUCAUGGCUAUUCGUAUGCCUCGCAUUAUUAAUGCUAAACAAAUUCUCCGUCGAUCUUCAAUGACUUCUAAGGAUGUUCCAAAGGGCUAUAUCAUUCUUGAACAAGCCUUCUUUUCAAGAAUUGUUAAGUCAAGCUGAGGAAGAAUUUGGCUUUAAUCAUCCUAUGGGUGGCCUUACAAUACCAUGCACAGAAGACAUAUUCAUUGAUCUCACUUCUCGUCUAAGCGAACUCUGAGUUUAGAUUGAUUAAUUGCAGAAUAUUUUUGCUAACUCAUUUUUGUACAGAAGUGAUCAUCAUUUGACUAUACAUUUUUCAUUCCAUUUUCCCCCACAAAAGAGCCUGGGGUUGAAUGUAACAUCUCUUUAUGAGAAAAAUUUAUAAAUAGACUUUAUUGCAGUUUCUCUCAUAUUCUCUUGUUGAUUACAUUCAUAAGAAAAAAUAUCUUUCACUUUCAGAUUUUUGGUGAGGUGAUUAUUAUAAUCUGUGGCCUGCCAGGAGGAAACUAAUAAUUUCAAGAUAGAUUUUCAUGAAAAACAGUUGGAACUGGCUAGUUUUUUUUCCCUGGAUCUCCCAAAUAAGUCAUGAAUAUGCUUUGUCCUUUAUGCUGUUAGUUGGUGCAAUUUGAUUCCUUCCAUGUUGUAUUGAAAAUUAAGGUUCCUUUGGUAUCUAGCAUGGACACAAUCUUAUUUAUUCCAUCAUUAUAGGAAUUCUUAUGUGCAUCUUUGUAUCAUGUUUGACUCCCACUUUGUUUUUAAGUUCACUUGAAAGAAUCGUGUGGGCAUAUUAUCAAAUGCAAGAAAAGAACUAGAUUAGAUAGAUGACACAUCCUAAAGGCCCAUAUUGCCAUUUGUGUAGGAUAAUUAACCUAGAAAAAUUAUUGUAUGGCUAUCCAUAUCAUGCUUGACAGAAUCCCUAAGUCACAAACAUUCUAAUAUGGAAACAUUUGUUUGUUCUUCAAGUUAGGAAAAUGUCAUAAUAUUACCAAUCUUCCCUUGUGUUUUGACAAUGAAUAUUUCUGCAUGACCAGCUUACGUUUUCCAGUACUUUUAAACGACAACAUUAAUCCUACAAGGAGAGCAGAAUUUGUUCUGGUGUAUUUAGAUAAUCUUUUAUAGUUAAAUCCUAACAUUGAGUUCAAUAUAUGUUAUAAUCAGUAGGACGCAUACAUAAUAAUUUUUUGUUGAUUUUCAUCCAUUAAAUUGGUGGACUUCAACAACUCGACCCAGAGAUAUACAGCCUAAACACUAAAAACAUUUAUGCGAUUCAUUGGGAGGCAUAACCAUGUGCUACAUAACUCUAUAUGUUUGCUUAUGGACCAUUUCUAUAUGUUAUUGAAUAUAUAUAUAAGAUAUAGUUGUGCCAAUUAGACCAAGAAACAUAUAAUCUUCAAUUCAAUAUUAUGUUUGAUUUUAAGUACAACCAUUUUGCAGCCCAGCUUUAAAUUCUUUGAUCUGUCAAAGUUGUUGGCCAUGACAAGCUUCCCUACAGAUGCUAGAGCACCAACAAUAUUGAAAUUUAUGUAUUUUUGAUUGGUAGCAUAACCAUGUAUUUCUGUAAUGAUAUAUGUUGGUUUGGUCACUCCACUGUAAACCAAGUGCCAUGAGCUGUCAAUCAAGGCUAGAUUUAUGUAAUGCUGUCAUAUUGGUGUUUAUACAUAAAGCUAAUUUAGGAUGUAUAAACACCAAUAUGAGUUGGUAGGGCAUUAUGUUGUUCUGUGAUUAUAUGGCUUGGCCUAUUACUAAAUAUUCUUGAUAAUGAGUUUGAAGACCAAACCAUGUGAGUCUUUAAAUGCUAUUGUCUCUUGCUGACCUUCAUCCAAUUUCCUCUCCACCACUCAAUCUACUAUCCACUUUACCCAUUGAUCUAUAUAUAAGUUUGCCAUCAGACUUGUACACAACCACUAACAACUCACAAAUUCUACUGUCAAAAGUUUCUCAAGUCCUUAAGAUUUUUCUCUUCCUCAUUAUACAUAUUGGAAGUGGUGUGUAUUCUUGAAGAAUCAUGGCUAUUCGUAUGCCUCGUAUUAUUCAAGCUAAGCAAAUUCUUCGAAAGAUUUCAUUAACAGCAAACCAUGCUACUUCAACAACUGCAGAAGUUCCGAAGGGCUAUUUGGCAGUUUAUGUAGGAGAGCAGGAAAAGAAGAGGUUCGUGAUUCCGAUAUCAUUCUUGAGCCAGCCUUGUUUCCAAGACUUGUUAAGUCAAGCAGAGGAAGAAUUUGGGUUUGAUCAUCCUAUGGGUGGUCUUACAAUUCCCUGUAGAGAGGACAUAUUCAUUGAUCUCACUUCUCAUUUGAGUGGAUUGUGAUCAGUAAAAGAACUAGCAUAGUUUAGCGAACACAGUUUUGUAUAGCAAUGCCAGUGAUACCAAUUCCUUGUACAGUUUUUCUGUAAUUUUUUGCCCCAGAAAAGAACCUGGGGUUACAUACAAUGUUUCAUACAUCUGAUGCCUGAUGGUAUAUAUCAAUAAAUAGAAAAUAUUGCCUUCUCUCAUAUUCUCUAUUGAUUUAUGAGUAUAUAAAAAAUCUUUUUUUUUCUUUUUGGAUUGGAUUUCUCAUGGAUUCUGCACUACUAUUGGUGGCUUACUAAGAUUAUGAACAUCACUUUUGGUAUCCACUUGAAAACAAACAAUUAUGAUACUUCUGUAUAUCAAACUCAGAGUAAUAACAUUUACUUGAUAAAAUGCUGGCCCUACAGCAAUAUUUUGUUCACUUCAUUAAUCUUUCCUGAUUAGUCAUAACAUUCAAGCACAUUUUCUUAAACAAAAUAGGUAAUCAGGUAAUACAAAUACUUUCUAAUAUCCUCCAUCUUUUCUUUUCUUGUCAUUCAAUCCGGUAGGAUAAUGUCCUCCAUCAGAGUCCUGUAAAUGUUUUUGUACGUCAAACUUAACUUUCAUUCCAAAAAGAUUCCUUAUACUUUGUUUACUAUUCAAACCAACUUGUGGGCAUAUAUUAUGGUGUCUGACAAUUGAGGGAGUGAUAGAGGAAGGCUAUAAAGGUUCAGUUGUCUCAGUAGUUGUUCCAAAUGGUAAAAAUAGACAUCUUAGUGAAAUGCUUGUUUGGAAUGAAGAACAAAUCCGUGAACAUUCAUCGGACCCUUCUGCAGCCGCCAUCUGAAUGAGUACAACUAUGUCGUGAAUAUGCUUUGUACUUUAUGCUGUUAGGGGCUGCAAUUUAAAUCCUUGACAUAACUACUGAGAAUCCUUAUCUGCAUGGACAAAGUAUUAUUUAUUCUGUCACUAUAAGAAUCCUUAUCUGCAUCUUUGUAUCAAGUUUGACUCCACUUAGUUUUAAAGUCCACUUGAAGAAUCAUAUGGUCAUAUUAUCAAUAGCAAGAAAAGACUAGAUUAGAUAGAUGAUACAUCCUAAAGGCCCACAUUGCCAUUUGUGUAGAAUAAUUAACCUAGAAAAUUUGCUGUAUGGCUCCCAUAUCAUGGUUGACAGAAUCCUCAACACAGACUUUCUAAUAGGUAAACAUUUGUAUGUUCUAUAGAAUCUUUUUUUUUUUCACUAUGUACAUCCUUUAUUUCAUCUAUCAGUACACUUGAUCUCUGAUUAUGUAAAUAAUCUGCUCAAUUUGGAUUAAAUUAUAAACUGUUUAUCAAAGCCAUAAUCCUGGUUAGUUCUAGUCAACCCUUAAUCCCUCAAGCUCAAAUUAUUAUCCAUUCUCCAUAUGUCGAGGGACAAGUUACAUCAGUAACCCAUUUUUUAAUCCCCAUGUUUUCAGAACUCAUUAGAAGCAUCAGAACACACAGUACCGGUGGUGGCCUUCAUGUUUAAUGGACUACAAAAGAUUUUUUUUUUAAUUAAAUGUAUAUAAACACUAUUCAAUGUAUCAGAAUGAUGAUCAUCUAAGAUGUUUUCUCCUAUUAGACACAACUAGGUAAUCAUCAGUCAAAUGGUCUCUUGGAUAUACAUUAUAAUAUGAUUGGCAUCAACUAUUAUAAUCAUAUAGCAGGUCCAAAUUUAGCCCAAUCAAAUUGUUAGGCCAUGAAAAUCACCUCAAGAUAGCAUAAAAAUAUCAAACUUUGAUUUUUCAGUCUUUUUUGUUCUGAGGCAUAACUCUGUGACAGUGAUACCUAAUGGUGUAUGUUUUUGUGUGGACCUUGGUGCUUUGGUUGUUCACCACUUGCUCCAUUUGAGACUUCUGGCCUAUAAAUACUAGUGUCAUUUUCUUGAUGUUUAGUUGGAGUACAAAGCAUGUGCCCUGCAUUUGCUGUUGUCCAUCAAUAGCCCCCACAAAAAUGCAUAAUCACCACUCAUUUACUUGUUAAAGGAUCAUCUACUAACCCCGAUACAUCUAUAUAUAUUCUUGAGCUUUGUCUAUCAAUCAACACAACUCAUAAAACAAUCUACAAUCACAACUUUCUCUCAUUCUACAAGUCUUUGAGAUAUUUUUUUCUUCCUCAUUAGACUCUUUGGAAUCAUGGCUAUUCGUAUGCCUCGUAUUAUUAAUGCUAAGCAAAUUUUUCGCCGGUCUUCAUUGACUGCUAACCAUGCAGCUUUAGAUGUUCCGAAAGGCUACUUCGCAGUUUAUGUUGGAGAGCAGCAAAAGAAGAGAUUUGUCGUGCCAAUAUCAGUUUUGAAUCAGCCUUCUUUUCAGGAUUUGUUAAGUCAAGCUGAGGAAGAAUUUGGCUUUGAUCAUCCUAUGGGUGGUCUUACCAUACCCUGCAGAGAGGAAAUAUUCAACGAACUCACUUCUCGAUUAUGUGGAUUAUGAGUUUUCAUACUGGAAAAUUUAGUACACAAAUUUUUGUACUGAAGUGACCACAAUUCAUUAUACAUUUUUCUUUUUUCCUCCAGUAAAGAUUCUGGGGUUGAAUGUACUGUCUCUAUAUUAGAGAAAUUUAUAAAUAGAAUUUAGUGCAGUUUCUCUUAUAUUCUCUUGUUGAUUAGUUUCAUUUUACUGUAGUAUAUUUCACUUUCAGAUUUUAGGUAUGAGGAAUAUAUUGUGAAGACAUAUUUAGUUGAAUUCUUUUUGUAUGAACUUUGUUUAGUUCUAUCAACUUAGAAAAUAUAAGUAGUACUAGUACCCAUGUCAAGCAAAUGUUUUUGUACUAGUAAGAAAUAUUAUGCAGUAAUAAAGUAUUGUUCUUGUUCUUAGAUAAUAUCUUCAUCUGAAGACUUAAUAAUUUCUUAAGUUCUUUAGAAUAUCAAGCUCAGGACUUUAAUCCCACUGAAUAAACAAGGUCAACUUGUUCUAUGAAUUAUCUUGUGAUAUUUUGCUAAGACAAUAGGCAUUUUUCUGAUCAAGUUGGUCUUUUGACUAAAAUUCUCAAAUGAAGAUGAAAGGCAAUAUUUUCUAAAUUAUAUUAAACCAGUUGCUAAAAGACCUUGAAGAUAUACUUUAAGCUUCCAUAUCAGGCUUUCAGGCAUUGACUUGCAUAGUAAAUAAGACUCAUAAUUUGAACUUGAUGCAUCAUUUUACUUUUAUUUCUCCAAUAAUGCCUUAGUGAUUUAGGUGUUAAAUGUUGUCGUGUAAUAAAUUUUUCCUACUACUAUAUUUUCAGUAAUAGUCUCAUUAAACAUGUAGUAUUGGUUGCCCUUGUGUUUAUUUUACCACAAUCCUUAUUCCUAAAUGAAAAUCUGUAACAAGGCAAGAAGUUUAAUUAAUGACAGUACUGAGAUGAACUCGACCAUUUGGGGGCAAUAACAAAUAUCAUUUUCAAUCCAAUAUAAUGUUGGAUAUAUAUAAAAGCACCUUGCAGCCCAGCACUUGUAUUGUUUGCUCUGUCAAAGUGGUAGUAGCUAGGCCAUCACAAGUAGUCCUCAUAUUUUCAAGUGGUAGAGCUUCAACAUUUUCAAAUCUUUUUGAAUUUUUGUUGGGAAGCAUAACCAUGUGAUUUUCUAAUGAUUAUAUCCUUCAGUGGACUAUGUUGCUUUUGCCUCUUCAGUCGGUUUAUUUAUUAGUAGAUGAAAUGGUAGGACAUGAUGUUCUUCAAUAAUUAAAUGGUUUUGGUUUUGCCUAUGACUAUAACUUCCUGAUAAUGAGUUGGAAGACAAGAACAUGUGAUUUUUUACAUGUUAUUGUCUCUAACUGCCCCACAUCCGAAUGUCUCUAUACCACUCAAUUCUACUGUCAACUGAUCCAUUGAUCUAUAUAUAGGAUUACACUUGAGCUUAUAAUCAACACCAACACCUCACAAACUCUACUGUCAAAAGUUUCACAACUCCUUUAAGAUAUUUGUCUUCCUCAUUUUUCAAGAGACAUCCUUGAAGAAUGAUGGCUAUUCGAAUGCCUCGUAUCAUUCAUGCUAAGCAAAUUCUUCGAAAGAUUCCAUUAACAUCAAACUAUGCUACUUCAACAACCAUGGAUGUUCCAAAAGGCUAUUUUGCAGUUUAUGUAGGAGAGCAGGAAAAGAAGAGAUUUGUGAUUCCAAUAUCAUUUUUGAACCGGCCUUCUUUCCAAGACUUGUUAAGUCAAGCGGAACAAGAGUUUGGCUUUGAUCAUCGUAUGGGUGGUCUUAUAAUUCCCUGCAGAGAGGAAAUAUUCAUUGAUCUCACUUCUCGUUUGAGUGGAUUGUGAUCACUAGGAGAACUAGCAUAGUUUAGUGAACACAAUUUUGUAUAGCAUAGCAUAGCAGUCAGUGAUAGCAAUUUUUCUAUCAUUUUUGCCCCAGGGAGCCUGGGGUUAAAGACAAUGUUACAUACAUCUUAUGAUAAUUUAUAAAAAGAAAUUAAUGAUUUCUCUCAUAUUCUCUUCCUUUUAUAUAUUUAUAUUUGAAUUUCUUUGGAUAUUAUUUUCGCAGAUUCUACAUUUAUUAUUAGUGACUUGCCAGUACUUUUAAUGGCCUCCAUCUUUUCUUUUUUGGUCAUUAUACUGGAUAAUGGCUCUAUCUGACUCCAGCAAAUGUGCUAUUAGAGGCUGCUAUUUGGGACAUUAUUUUCUUAUUGUUUUUUUCUUCUAGAUGGGGCAUUUGUAAUUGUCAUUCUGUUUAAUAGGAUAAUGUUCAGAAAAAAUUCAUACCAACUCAAGUUUUUGCAUCACAAUUUCUGUUGUUUCAUGCAUGAGUUGCCAACAAGCAGGGAAAAAAAUAUAUUUCAAUAAUCAAAAUGUAUGUGGUGAUCAAAUUUAAUCUUUAUCACCAAAAGAUUCUAUGAAUUUUUUAACUAUGAAAACCAACUUGAGGACACAUUCUUAUCGUCCACUAAAAAGUUAAUUGUGAAGUCAUAUUAUCAACUGCGAGAAAGGAAAGGCCGCCCACAAUGCCACUUAUUCAAUCCACUUCCUGCUAUUUGGUUAUGUAUAAAUUCUGCUUAAUUUGGACUAAUAUCAUGGCCCUAUUGAUCAUCAUUAUCAUUGCUUGUUUCCUUUCUUCUAGUCAACCGUUCAUCCCUCAAAAAACAUUGUGACAUGAGUAGCCAAUUUGCUGUGAGGCCCAUGUUGUUAGAACUGGAUCAUAACACAUAGUCCUGGUGCUGGCCUUCAUGUUUAAUUUACUUGACCACAAAUUAAAUCAAAUUGUUUAACAAUAACAUACAAUAUUUUGAUCACAUUAGAUAUAUAUACUCCUCCGCAUUUAGACACAACUAUUAAUCUUCAAUCCAAAUUGUCUGUUGGAUAAACAUUAUAAUUAGUUGGCAGCAAAUAUAAUAAUCAUUUGUAGGUCCAAUUUUCACUCAAUCCAAUUGCUAAGCCAUGAUAAUCACCUCAACAUAGAACUAAAAAUAUCAAGCUCAGAUUUUAUUUUAUUUUAUUGGGUUUUUUUUGUUGUUGUGAGGCAUCACCAUGUGCUACCUAAUGGCAUAUGUCUUUUGAAGGACCUUGGUGCUUUGGUCUGUUUACCACAAACUCCAUUUGAGACUUUUGGCCUACAAAUCCUACUGUGAUUUUGCUGAUAUUGAGUUGGACUACAAAACCAUGUGACCUGCAUUUGCUAUUUUCCAUCAAUAGCCCCCACAGAAAAUGCAUCUUUGCCACUCAUUUACAUGUUGAGGGGUCAUCCACAGGACCACAGACCCUUAAUGCAUCUAUAUAUACACUUGCAUUUCAUCUUACAAUCAACACAAGUUUCAAACUCUACUGCCUCAAGUUUCUCCAGUUCAACAAGUCUUUGACAUCUUUAUUUUUCAUCCUCACUAUACCUUUCAGAAUCAUGGCUAUUCGUAUGCCUUGAAUUAUUAAUGCUAAGCAAAUUCUUCAUCGAUCUUCAUCGACUUCCAAGGAUGUUCCAAAGGGCUAUUUUGCAGUUUAUGUUGGAGAGCAGGAAAAGAAGCGAUUCGUGAUUCCUAUAUCAUUCUUGAACAAGCCUUCUUUUCAAGAAUUGUUAAGUCAAGCUGAGGAAGAUUUUGGCUUUAACCAUCCUAUGGGAGGCCUUACAAUACCAUGUACAGAAGACAUAUUCAUUGAUCUCACUUCUCGUCUAAGUGAACUAUGAGUUUAGAUUGAUGCCAGAAUAUUUUUGCUAACUCAUUUUUGUACAGAAGUGAUCAUCAUUUGACUAUACAUUUUUCAUUCCAUUUUUCCCCCAAAAAAGUCUGGGGUUGAAUGUAACAUCUAUUUAUCAGAAAAAUUAUAAAUAGACUUGCUGCAGUUUCUCUCAUAUUCUCUUGUUGAUUACAUAUAUAAUCAAAAGUAUCUUUCACUUUCAG
This 8668-nucleotide long non-coding RNA is filed under the name Panax ginseng (ginseng). Its description in RNAcentral is "long non-coding RNA (PGIN_LNC015307)". Lineage: Eukaryota; Viridiplantae; Streptophyta; Magnoliopsida; Apiales; Araliaceae. The record is from RNAcentral.